Molecule: ribosomal RNA, 708 nt
Filed under: Enterococcus faecalis
Lineage: Bacteria; Bacillati; Bacillota; Bacilli; Lactobacillales; Enterococcaceae
Description: bacterial SSU rRNA
Rfam family: Bacterial small subunit ribosomal RNA
Source: RNAcentral
UUCUUUCCUCCCGAGUGCUUGCACUCAAUUGGAAAGAGGAGUGGCGGACGGGUGAGUAACACGUGGGUAACCUACCCAUCAGAGGGGGAUAACACUUGGAAACAGGUGCUAAUACCGCAUAACAGUUUAUGCCGCAUGGCAUAAGAGUGAAAGGCGCUUUCGGGUGUCGCUGAUGGAUGGACCCGCGGUGCAUUAGCUAGUUGGUGAGGUAACGGCUCACCAAGGCCACGAUGCAUAGCCGACCUGAGAGGGUGAUCGGCCACACUGGGACUGAGACACGGCCCAGACUCCUACGGGAGGCAGCAGUAGGGAAUCUUCGGCAAUGGACGAAAGUCUGACCGAGCAACGCCGCGUGAGUGAAGAAGGUUUUCGGAUCGUAAAACUCUGUUGUUAGAGAAGAACAAGGACGUUAGUAACUGAACGUCCCCUGACGGUAUCUAACCAGAAAGCCACGGCUAACUACGUGCCAGCAGCCGCGGUAAUACGUAGGUGGCAAGCGUUGUCCGGAUUUAUUGGGCGUAAAGCGAGCGCAGGCGGUUUCUUAAGUCUGAUGUGAAAGCCCCCGGCUCAACCGGGGAGGGUCAUUGGAAACUGGGAGACUUGAGUGCAGAAGAGGAGAGUGGAAUUCCAUGUGUAGCGGUGAAAUGCGUAGAUAUAUGGAGGAACACCAGUGGCGAAGGCGGCUCUCUGGUCUGUAACUGACGCUGA